UAAUGUCUGGGAAACUGCCUGAUGGAGGGGGAUAACUACUGGAAACGGUGGCUAAUACCGCAUAAUGUCGCAAGACCAAAGUGGGGGACCUUCGGGCCUCAUGCCAUCAGAUGUGCCCAGAUGGGAUUAGCUAGUAGGUGGGGUAACGGCUCACCUAGGCGACGAUCCCUAGCUGGUCUGAGAGGAUGACCAGCCACACUGGAACUGAGACACGGCCCAG
RNAcentral lists this ribosomal RNA (220 nucleotides) under uncultured bacterium. Its description in RNAcentral is "partial 16S ribosomal RNA". It matches the Rfam family "Bacterial small subunit ribosomal RNA", at positions 111 to 334 of the family's 1533-position model. The record is from RNAcentral.